Molecule: ribosomal RNA, 273 nt
Filed under: uncultured bacterium
Lineage: Bacteria
Description: partial 16S ribosomal RNA
Rfam family: Bacterial small subunit ribosomal RNA
Source: RNAcentral
AUACGGAGGGGACUAGCGUUGUUCGGAAUUACUGGGCGUAAAGAGUUCGUAGGCGGACUGAUAAGAAGAGGUGAAAUCCCAGGGCUCAACCCUGGAACUGCCUUUUAAACUGUCAGUCUAGAGACCGGAAGAGGUUAGGGGAAUACCUAGUGUAGAGGUGAAAUUCGUAGAUAUUAGGUGGAACACCAGUGGCGAAGGCGCCUAACUGGUCCGGUACUGACGCUGAGGAACGAAAGCGUGGGGAGCAAACAGGAUUAGAAACCCCAGUAGUCC